AUUGAACGCUGGCGGCAUGCUUUACACAUGCAAGUCGAACGGCAGCGGGGGCUUCGGCCCGCCGGCGAGUGGCGAACGGGUGAGUAAUGCAUCGGAACGUGCCCAGUCGUGGGGGAUAACACAUCGAAAGAUGUGCUAAUACCGCAUACGUCCUGAGGGAGAAAGCGGGGGAUCUUCGGACCUCGCGCGAUUGGAGCGGCCGAUGUCGGAUUAGCUAGUUGGUGGGGUAAAAGCCCACCAAGGCGACGAUCCGUAGCGGGUCUGAGAGGAUGAUCCGCCACACUGGGACUGAGACACGGCCCAGACUCCUACGGGAGGCAGCAGUGGGGAAUUUUGGACAAUGGGGGCAACCCUGAUCCAGCCAUGCCGCGUGGAGGAUGACUGCCCUCUGGGUUGUAAACUCCUUUUGUACGGGAAGAAACCUUUCCAUUUAUGGGUGAGCUGACGGUACCGUAAGAAUAAGCACCGGCUAACUCCGUGCCAGCAGCCGCGGUAAUUACUGACU
This 505-nucleotide ribosomal RNA is filed under the name uncultured bacterium. Its description in RNAcentral is "bacterial SSU rRNA". It matches the Rfam family "Bacterial small subunit ribosomal RNA", at positions 30 to 531 of the family's 1533-position model. The record is from RNAcentral.